CACGUAGGGGGCAAGCGUUGUCCGGAUUUAUUGGGCGUAAAGAGCUCGUAGGCGGUUCGGUAAGUCGGGUGUGAAACCUCCAGGCUCAACCUGGAGACGCCACCCGAUACUGCUGUGACUAGAGUCCGGUAGGGGAGCGUGGAAUUCCUGGUGUAGCGGUGAAAUGCGCAGAUAUCAGGAAGAACACCAAUGGCGAAAGCAGCUCUCUGGGACGGUACUGACGCUGAGACGCGAAAGCGUGGGGAGCGAACAGG
RNAcentral lists this ribosomal RNA (254 nucleotides) under uncultured bacterium. RNAcentral describes it as "partial 16S ribosomal RNA". It matches the Rfam family "Bacterial small subunit ribosomal RNA", at positions 524 to 776 of the family's 1533-position model. The record is from RNAcentral.